GCGCCCUCUCUGCUUCGAGGUGCCCGCGUGUGCGCGGGAGAAUCGGGAAGGCGGUGCAAUUCCGCCGCGCGCCCAGCGCCGUGUAGGGGAUUGUCCGGGCGAGGUUCGCCCAGCCACUGGUCCACGAGGACCGGGAAGGCGCCCGGACGAGAUGAUCCGCAGCCGGAAGACCGGCCUCGAAGUGCAUCCCGCA
This 193-nucleotide non-coding RNA is filed under the name Thauera sp. The record is from RNAcentral. Lineage: Bacteria; Pseudomonadati; Pseudomonadota; Betaproteobacteria; Rhodocyclales; Zoogloeaceae.